UUCGGCCGCCGAAAGUGCCUUAGGUUUUGCCCCCGAAACUCCAAGUUCGGCCGCCGAACGUUGCAUGGUUUUGCAUGCAGCUUUGGCUGCCGAAGGAGAGGCGGUUGGCCACCUAUAAAAGGCCCCUUAUCCGGAUUUGAGGUGAGUUUUCUCUCUCUUUUUGGGUAUAGGUGAGUUCUUGGUCUUCUUGGGUUGAUUUGUUGUUGUUUCUUCAAAUCUUUCAAAGUUAAGCAAGUUUUAAGUAGGUUUUAUGUGAUUUUAAAGAGUUUUGGAGCUUGGAGACUUUUGGAGCUGGAUUCUCCAUAUUUUCAAGUUGGGGUCACACCAACUCUCGUUCUUCAAGAGGUAAGUGUAGAUCCUUAGCUUUUACAGUGUUUUAAGUGAGUUUUAUGAAGGGAAAGGGUUAGUUUGCAUGAGUUUUGCAUGGUUGUGCAUGUGAGGGUUUAUGGACCCUUUAUGCCUUUGUAUGUUAUAUGAGUUGUUUUUGGGGUUUUGAGCUUGUUCUAAGCCCUAUGUGCAAGAAGAAGUGUUUAUGCAUGUUUAUGAUGUUUUAGGGGGAUUUUGGGGAGAUGUUUAGAGUUAUGUUAGAAUGGUUUGGUACCUCAUUUGAAUCUACCUGUGUAGGAUUGGACCCGAGGAACCGAGGAGGCCCUAGAGUUAGAGUUGGCCCAGAGUUAGCCAGCAGUGGCAGGUGAGUGGAACUAGACCCUAUGUUUUUAAGUGAAUGUUUUAGCAUGUUCCAUGCAUCAUAAUAUCAUGUUAUAGUAGGGUAUAUUGCAUUAGCAAUCACGAAGAUGAUGCAUUGCAUAUUAUGUUAAUGAUGUGGAUGGACCAAGACGACCCCAAUAGCCCUACAGUGUAUGUUUUAGAAGUCCUGAGGAGCCUCCUGAGGGCCGGGGACAGUGCAUGUUAUAGAAGUCCUGAGGAGCUCCUUUGAGGGCCGGGCACAGAGCAGAGGGAGUUUUGGUGGUCAUGUCCAUCCGAGAUGUGAUUAGUUGUGAUGUGAUGCAUUCCAUGAUGACAUAUGUUUUUAAUGUUUUUAUAGUUCUGCUCAUUGGGCUUUAUAGCUCACCCCAAUCCUUAACCCCCAGUUUUGCAGGGCCAGAGUUAGCUAUGAGAAAGAUCAGAGUCAGCAAGAGUAAAGAGUAAAGUCAGGGCUAUGAGUAUGUGUUUGUAAUAGAAGUUUAGUGGACAUGUAUCUUAAUGUAUUAUGCUGUAAGUUAAGUUAAGUUAAGUUAUGUAUAAGCAUGUUUUAUCAUGUAAUGUAUUUAGAGUUAUAGAGUUGCGCUUGGCCCUAGUGUGUGGAUAAUCCCUUUGUACACGGAUCCUGUUUUACGUUUCUUGAUGAGAAAUGUGUUGAACCAAGCCUGAUGUAUUAUGCUGACCCAUCUAGAUGUGGUUCUAUGUUUUCAGACAUAGUGCAUGCAGGUCAAGCUUGGUAAAUGAAAGAAAAGUUUAGUUUUUAUGGAAAUGUUUGAUCAUGUAUGGGAUUAUUCCAGCUGUGCAGAGUGUUUAGCAGGCUUGCUACGGGUCCCGGCGACCUUAAGCCGAUUUGGACCCUAGCGCCGGUGGCGGUUCGGGCCGUUAUAGAGGGGUAUCGGUUUUCGGGCUGUUACAGAUUGGUAUCAGAGCAUAAGGCCUCAAGAGUACGAUGUGCUGAGUGGAGAUGCUCAGGGAUUAGAGGUAUCCCACAUCGGAAAGAGGUUGUUUUAGAGGGCAAGCACAAUAGUAAGAUCAUGUCCACUAGGAUAGGAUGUGGAGUCCUGUCUUGUAUGAUGUGGUGGAUGGAUAUUGGUGGAUCCUCUAGCCCUCAGCAUGCAUGAGAUGCCAUGUGUGAGUUGAGCAGACCAGGUUUGGCUUAGUUACCCCUGGUACAGAGGAAGAGAGUCCAGGAGGCCGUGUUGCCCCUAGCAUAGUUGGACAUAUCUAUGUUAUGGAUAUGUAGAGGGCUAUUGGUGACCAAUUCAUCCAUGAGAUGAGAUGCUUUGCAUGUGUAUGGGGUUCAUGUGUUACCACAUGGAUCAUUUGAUGAUAUGCCCAUAUGAUGUGAAAUGUUUGUGUUGUGUUUUUGUGGUGCCAUGGUUGAUGUGGACUCAUGUGUAACCGCAUGGGCCAUGUGAUGCUAUGGUUUCUGUGUGUGUGCUCUUUUCUUAGCAGGCAGGAUGAGCGGUACUCGUUGAUCUACUGGAUUGACAGGAGUUUCUCUUGAGAGGAAAGGUACAGAUACUUUCCCCUUGUUAUGCCAAGAGCGCAGUAGUGUAGCAUCAGCAGAGAGGGUUCAUCAAGGGACCCUAGGCGGUCUUUUGAUGUAGUCCGAGGUAGACUGGACCCUAGAGGAUGUUAGCUGAUGUGAGAGUAGCAGAGUUAGAUGUUUAGAGAAGAAAGUUAAUAGAUAGAUGUUCAUAGAAGAGUUAGUAGCUAGAGGUUAGUGUGCCAGAGAAGAGCUUGAGAGAGUUGCUAUGAGAUGCUAUGGCCUCGGGUUUUUAUAACCCCAGGUAUAGUGAGAGUUGAUCUCUCAUCUCUGAGUGCAGCCCCCUCAAGUAGAGUAAGUGAGAUAGAGCAGAGUAAGAAGAAGCAGAGUAAGUGAGCUAGAGCAGAGUAAGAGGUAGAGAAGAGUAAGAGUAAGUGUAAGUUCAGGUAGAGGUUUCAGUUCGAUCUGGGAUUAGGUGGUGGUUGAGGCAGGAGGAGAGGGUUAUCCUUUUCUUCAGUAGGUUCCCGAGGGAAGAUCCGUCAGCUUCAACCUGGAUCUUCACUCUGACUCAGCAGGAGGCUAUCACAUCGAACACGGUGACGUCAGGUACGUUCACUUGUGGGUGUUCGGAUGUGUGUGCUGUUUUUGACCCUAGUGUUUCUCUUUCCCUAUUACUUUGUGAGCCAUAGAGGGAGGGUUUGAUAGCUUCUGGGCUUCGAGUGUCCUCUUUGGGUGAGUAGACCCAAGUGUGAUCCAUCAGAGGCAGAGUCAGUCUGCCAGUAUAGUUCAGAGCAUGGUGAGAGUAGAUGCCUUCCAGCUGACCUUAUGGUUCUAGAUGUGACUGUUUGACGUCCUUCUAGUGGUGGAUUGGCUAGCUACUUGUAGCGCUACCGAGUCUGCAGAGACAAGGUAGUCAUGUUCAGAGUUCAGAGGUUUGGAUGAAUCAGAGGUAAUCCCUGGAAGGGACAGAGUAGUGCCUAGAGGUUUGAUGUCAGUCCUACAGGCUCCUAGUUUGCUCAGGAAAGGUUGUCAGAGGGUUUCUAGCUCUUGUUGGAGAGUUCUGCAGUCAGGUCAGGGAAUCAGCCUCAGUGCCCUGAGCUAGAGAGUUCUUAGAUGUUACCCAGACGAACUGUCAGGUUUACCAUCUGUCAGGGAGAUAGAGUUUGGAGUAGGAGUGGUGUCUGGAUCCAGAACCAUUUCUUUCCUUCCCUACAGGAUGGCACCUGCAGAGUAGAGAGAGGUAGUAGUCAGAGUAGUAGAGAGGCUUGGUAGAUAAGGGUUUUAUCCGACCUAGUACCUCACCCUGGAGUGUUCCAGUGUGGUUGUGGGAAACGAAGGAUGGAUCCUUGAGACUUUGUAGCGACUGUAAGCAGUUGGACAAGGUCACUACCAAGGACAGGUAUGCCCAUGCAAGAUUAAUGAUCUAUUGGAACAGCUUGUCGGCGCGGGUUAUGUUUCUAGAUAGAUCGGAGAUUCGGGUACUAACUGUUGAGAGUUAGAGAAGAAGCCAGUUUAGAUAGAUGAAGAGAGAAGGGCAAGAGUCAGAGUGCGCAGCGGAAGCUGUUGCAGUUCUAGAGACGUUGAGGUAUUGCUGGAGGUGUCUCCUAGUAAGGGUGAUUCGUUUUGAGAAGGAGAGGUAAGCUAGCUCUAAGAUACAUCGGACCCUUUGAAAUCCUAUAAAGGAUUGGGGAUGUAUCCUACCAGUUAGGUUUACCUGCUUUUUAGAAGAGAUCUAUUCGGUUUUCCUUGUUUCCUUGAUAUAGGAGUUGUGUCGGAACCGAGUGAGGUUCUUUUGAACCAGAGGUGGAGAUCUCAGGGGAUCUCACUUGUUUAGAGCUGCUAGAGCGGAUCAUAGACACACAGGUCAGAGUGUAGAGGAACAAGAAGUUCCGAUGGUGUUAGCCCUUGGAAUCACCUCAGUAGUGUUUAGUGUGCUUGGGAGACCGUGAGUUUUUACUCCAGUAGUACCAUGUCUCUUUUAUGUGUUAUGUGUUUAUGUUAUGGCUUUAGUAUGCAUGAGUUAGAGGAAGAACAUUCGGGGAUGAAUGUUGUUUUUAAGGAGGGUAGAUUGUAAUACCCGGCUAGAUUCAGGCAUCGCAAUUCCUACCGUCCGGUGGAAUUCGAGGAUGUCAGAGGUUUCUAGAAGGGUAAAGGAAAGGUUUUCUCAAAUGUUUUUAAGUGUUUUAAGGUUUUAAAUGAGAAAGGAGUUGAGUUUUGAAGAGAAAAGACUAAGGAGGCUUUGGCCAGGUUAGGCCGCCGAAAGUGCCUUAGGUUUUGCCCCCGAAACUCCAAGUUCGGCCGCCGAACGUUGCAUGGUUUUGCAUGCAGCUUUGGCUGUCGAAGGAGAGGUGGUUGGCCACCUAUAAAAGGCCCCUUAUCCGGAUUUGAGGUGAGUUUUCUCUCUCUUUUCGGGUAUAGGUGAGUUCUUGAUCUCCUUGGGUUGAUUUGUUGUUGUUUCUUCAAAUCUUUCAAAGUUAAGCAAGUUUUAAGUAGGUUUUAUGUGAUUUUGAAGAGUUUUG
This 4710-nucleotide long non-coding RNA is filed under the name Manihot esculenta (cassava). RNAcentral's name for it is "long non-coding RNA (MESC_LNC005871)". The record is from RNAcentral. Lineage: Eukaryota; Viridiplantae; Streptophyta; Magnoliopsida; Malpighiales; Euphorbiaceae.